CCUACGGGAGGCAGCAGUGAGGAAUAUUGGUCAAUGGACGAGAGUCUGAACCAGCCAAGUAGCGUGAAGGAUGACUGCCCUAUGGGUUGUAAACUUCUUUUAUAUGGGAAUAAAAUGUUCCACGUGUGGGAUUUUGUAUGUACCAUAUGAAUAAGGAUCGGCUAACUCCGUGCCAGCAGCCGCGGUAAUACGGAGGAUCCGAGCGUUAUCCGGAUUUAUUGGGUUUAAAGGGAGCGUAGGUGGAUUGUUAAGUUAGUUGUGAAAGUUUGCGGCUCAACCGUAAAAUUGCAGUUGAAACUGGCAGUCGUGAGUACAGUAGAGGUGGGCGGAAUUCGUGGUGUAGCGGUGAAAUGCUUAGAUAUCACGAAGAACUCCGAUUGCGAAGGCAGCUCACUGGACUGCAACUGACACUGAGGCUCGAAAGUGUGGGUAUCAAACAGGAUUAGAUACCCUAGUAGUC
This 460-nucleotide ribosomal RNA is filed under the name uncultured bacterium. RNAcentral's name for it is "partial 16S ribosomal RNA". It matches the Rfam family "Bacterial small subunit ribosomal RNA", at positions 338 to 795 of the family's 1533-position model. The record is from RNAcentral.